GAUGAAGAACGCAGCGAAAUGCGAUAAGUAGUGUGAAUUGCAGAAUUCAGUGAAUCAUCGAAUCUUUGAACGCACAUUGCGCCCCUUGGUAUCCCGAGGGGCAUGCCUGUUCGAGCGUCAUUUCACCACUCAAGCCUGGCUUGGUGUUGGGCGACGUCCUCUUUGGGGACGCGCCUCGAAACGCUCGGCGGCGUGGCACCGGCUUUAAGCGUAGCAGAAUCUUUCGCUUUGGAAGUCGGGGCCCCGUCUGCCGGAAGACCUGCUCGCAAGGUUGACCUCGGAUCAAGCAGGGAUACCCGCUGAACUUAAGCAUAUCAAUAAGCGGAGGA
Molecule: unclassified non-coding RNA, 329 nt
Filed under: soil metagenome
Description: partial contains 5.8S ribosomal RNA, internal transcribed spacer 2, and large subunit ribosomal RNA
Rfam family: 5.8S ribosomal RNA (bases 1-120)
Source: RNAcentral